Molecule: signal recognition particle RNA, 299 nt
Filed under: Cebus imitator (Panamanian white-faced capuchin)
Lineage: Eukaryota; Metazoa; Chordata; Mammalia; Primates; Cebidae
Description: Metazoan signal recognition particle RNA (ENSCCAG00000009253.1)
Rfam family: Metazoan signal recognition particle RNA
About the family: The signal recognition particle (SRP) is a universally conserved ribonucleoprotein. It is involved in the co-translational targeting of proteins to membranes.
Source: RNAcentral
GCCAGGCGCGCUGGCACUUGCCUGUAGCCCCAGCUACUCAGGAGGCUGAGGUGGGAGGAUCACUUGAGCCCAGGAGUUCUGGGCUGUAGUGCGCUAUGCCAAUCGGGUGUCCGCACUAAGUUCAGCAUCAAUAUGGUGACCUCCCGGGAUCAGGGGACCACCAGGUUGCCUAAGGAGGGGUGAACCGGCCCAGGUUGGAAACGGAGCAGGUCAAAACUCCCAUGCUGAUCAGUAGUGGGAUCGCGCCUGUCAAUAGCCACUGCACUCCAGCCUGGGCAACAUAGCGAGACCCCGUCUCU